RNAcentral lists this ribosomal RNA (459 nucleotides) under uncultured bacterium. Its description in RNAcentral is "partial 16S ribosomal RNA". It matches the Rfam family "Bacterial small subunit ribosomal RNA", at positions 338 to 795 of the family's 1533-position model. The record is from RNAcentral.
CCUACGGGCGGCAGUAGUGAGGAAUAUUGGUCAAUGGUCGGGAGCCUGAACCAGCCAAGUCGCGUGAAGGAAGAAGGUACUUAGUAUUGUAAACCUCUUUUGUCGGGGAACAAAGGCGGGGACGCGUCCCCGGAUGAGUGUACCCGAAGAACAAGCAUCGGCUAACUCCGUGCCAGCAGCCGCGGUAAUACGGAGGAUGCGAGCGUUAUCCGGAUUUAUUGGGUUUAAAGGGUGCGCAGGCGGGGUGUCAAGUCAGCGGUAAAAGCCCGGGGCUCAACCCCGGCCGGCCGUUGAAACUGGUAGUCUAAAGUGGGAGAGAAGUAUGCGGAAUUCGUGGUGUAGCGGUGAAAUGCAUAGAUAUCGCGCAGAACUCCGAUUGCGAAGGCAGCAUGCCGGCUCCAGACUGACGCUGAGGCACGAAAGCGUGGGGAUCGAACAGGAUUAGAUACCCUGGUAGUC